UACAGAGGUCUCAAGCGUUGUUCGGAUUCAUUGGGCGUAAAGGGUGCGUAGGCGGCGCGGUAAGUCGGGUGUGAAAUCUCGGAGCUUAACUCCGAAACUGCAUUCGAUACUGUGGUGCUAGAGGACUGGAGAGGAAACUGGAAUUCACGGUGUAGCAGUGAAAUGCGUAGAUAUCGUGAGGAAGACCUGUGGCGAAGGCGGGUUUCUGGACAGUACCUGACGCUGAGGCACGAAGGCCAGGGGAGCAAACGGG
RNAcentral lists this ribosomal RNA (253 nucleotides) under uncultured prokaryote. Its description in RNAcentral is "partial 16S ribosomal RNA". It matches the Rfam family "Bacterial small subunit ribosomal RNA", at positions 524 to 776 of the family's 1533-position model. The record is from RNAcentral.